UAGUUUUGAUUACUAUAAAUGGCAGCUAAAGCGCUUGGGAAAGCACAUCUUCAAGAUGAUGUCUUUCAUGAUAAUUCUUGGGAUGGUGGCUGCAACUGCAGUUGCCAUGCCCACAAAUGUGCCUGAUUGUUCUGGUGAGGGCAGGUUCCCCAACCCAAAAUUA
Non-coding RNA from Penaeus vannamei (Pacific white shrimp), 163 nucleotides. The record is from RefSeq and is a predicted model, not a curated record. NCBI's taxonomy places the organism in Eukaryota, Metazoa, Arthropoda, Malacostraca, Decapoda, Penaeidae.